AACACGUGAGUAACCUGCCCUUGACUCUGGGAUAAGCCUGGGAAACUGGGUCUAAUACCGGAUAUGACUCCUCAUCGCAUGGUGGGGGGUGGAAAGCUUUUGUGGUUUUGGAUGGACUCGCGGCCUAUCAGCUUGUUGGUGGGGUAAUGGCCUACCAAGGCGACGACGGGUAGCCGGCCUGAGAGGGUGACCGGCCACACUGGGACUGAGACACGGCCCAGACUCCUACGGGAGGCAGCAGUGGGGAAUAUUGCACAAUGGGCGCAAGCCUGAUGCAGCGACGCCGCGUGAGGGAUGACGGCCUUCGGGUUGUAAACCUCUUUCAGUAGGGAAGAAGCGUAAGUGACGGUACCUGCAGAAGAAGCGCCGGCUAACUACGUGCCAGCAGCCGCGGUAAUACGUAGGGCGCAAGCGUUAUCCGGAAUUAUUGGGCGUAAAGAGCUCGUAGGCGGUUUGUCGCGUCUGCUGUGAAAGACCGGGGCUCAACUCC
RNAcentral lists this ribosomal RNA (490 nucleotides) under Paenarthrobacter nicotinovorans. Its description in RNAcentral is "bacterial SSU rRNA". It matches the Rfam family "Bacterial small subunit ribosomal RNA", at positions 112 to 616 of the family's 1533-position model. Lineage: Bacteria; Bacillati; Actinomycetota; Actinomycetes; Micrococcales; Micrococcaceae. The record is from RNAcentral.